Molecule: long non-coding RNA, 1528 nt
Organism: Aethalodelphis obliquidens (Pacific white-sided dolphin)
Lineage: Eukaryota; Metazoa; Chordata; Mammalia; Artiodactyla; Delphinidae
Exons: 3
Source: RefSeq, a predicted model, not a curated record
UCAGACCCCUAGGAGUGGACACUAGCUCUCCCGCUGGGUCCAUCUCCGCCGUUUCCCCGGGGAUUCCGCCGUGGGAAACCCCCACCUUCUCCAGGGUUCUGGUCCCCAGAGUCUUGGGAAUUUGGAGAUGCCUGACCCGGAAGGAUGCCGUGAUUGUGAAGUAAGUUGUCUCAAGUCCUUGGAAUCGUAGUUGCAGUGCUUCUUCUAAUCCAUCCUGCCACUCAUAGGACAAAUAGCAGGAUUUCGUUAUCUACCACAUGAACGAUAACAGCAACGCCAUUGAACAAGAUGUGAAGGUAGUGAUGCGGUCAGUCACAGAGAAGAAAUCCUGGCUUGUGUGAGUGCGUCAUAUCAAUCCAUUCUCAUUGGCAGUGUCUGGGGUCGGCAGGUGACUAGUCCCCGAUGAAGACACUUAUGAGGAAGGUCACGCUGAAGAAAGACCUCUCCACCCACUCAGCUGCUCCUUUCUUCUCUUCAGGCUUUUUUCAUAUUGUCUCAUGAGGACUUGAUAUUUGGAGAGCUGCUGCUGAAGCUUGGAAUGUCCCAAUGGAUACACAUGAUACAUAUGCACAAUUAUGAACUUACACUGCAGUUCUAGACUUAUUGACAGGGAAAGAUAUCUAUGAUAUGUUGCUGAUAUGAUACGUAACAUUAAAACUAUUUACAUAAAAUUGAACACAAUUGUGUAUAUAUGCACCAAGACCUGCCUGGAAUUAUGUUCAUUUAAAUAUUAAGAGUGGUCGUCUCUGAGUAGUGAGAUGUUGGUGAAUUUCUACUUUAUUCCUUAUAUUUUUCUGUAAGGUUUAAGGUUUAGAUUUUAAUGUGAAUAAUCAACUUUUUUAAAAAGUAUGAUUCUGGGCAAUUCUCAUCUAUCUCAUGUUACUUAUAAUGGAUUUUUUUUCCAAACAAAUAUGUCCCAUCAUAAAAAUUCUUUUUUAUAAGACCGCAUAACUGGCAUCACAUGAUUUUUCUCCAUGGCAUAAUCAUCAGACAGGAAAUGUUUUGAUUCUGGAAUAACAUUUCCUGAUAAACAUUUGUUGGAAACAUUUAAGCAUUUCCUGAUCUGAAAAUUUUUGAGAUUUUUUUUUCUUUGUGUAUCUUAUUGUUAUAAUUAACAAUACUCUCUAGCCCAGUGGGACAGAAUCAACCUGUUGCAGGAAAAAAAAAAAAACUUUGAGAAAAACAUGGAUUUUAUUAGAGAGACAUUUUCCAGUCACCAAGAAAAUAAAACUGGCACAAUUUUCACCUAGUGGUGAAAAUAAUAAGUAGUCUCCCCUUAGCCUACAUUUAAGAAAUUUAAAUUUCUUUGGCACAUUUAAUUCUCGAAAGAAAUUGCAUAUGCUUAAAGCCAAAAAGAUGUUAAAAUCUUUUAGGCUUUAAGAAUAGUCUAGGCCUCUAGAGUAAAAUUGAAAAAGGGCCUUUCUUCCAGUGAUCACUUCGUUAUUAAGUAGUGUAUUGUUCAGCCUCCAUGUGUUUGUAUUUUUUACAGAUCUCUUCCUGUAAUUGAUAUCUAGUCUCAUAGCGUUGU